CCACGACUUAAUCGAAUGCUUCUGGCCUCGAAACUCCACUACUUUCUUCAGAGACCCAUCUGAGCUGCGCUGCUGUCUGAACGGAAGCUAGUUUUCACUCUUAGCAUCCAGGGAAGGCAACCAUAAAGAAACAGGAUGGACUGCCUGCCCUGAGAGCCUGCUCUUCCAGCUAGAUAAACAGGGUGGAGCAACCGGCACAGGGAGGAGUUAGCUACACCGGCACCCGGAGAAGCAGCCUCCUGGGCCCAGUGCCAAGGCCUGAACUUCAAAAGGGACAACUUCAGAAGCCGGCUUGGAAGUUCAUAAAGAAUGGGUGAAAUCUGGAAGACCGAGAAGAAAUGGACAAUCGAAGUUACACUCAUGAACACAGCCACUGUGGAAAGUAGUUUGGUGCUUUCACGGAUAGCUAAAAGUACACAAACUAGGUUGCCCAGCAACCCCACUCCCAUAGCGCUCAAGAGAGGCAGACUCAUUUCAAUUCCAGACUACAAUGUGAUAAGAGCUCACUCUGUCUCACCCGACUCUGCACUGCUGCGCACUUGAGUUCACAGCAGGGCCUUGCUGGCAUAGCUGUGGCCCCUCUACUUUGGACCUCCAGAACCGUGAGCCAAAAUGAACCCCUUUGUUUUUGUAAUUUAAGAAAAAAAGUAAACUGUGUUCUUGA
Molecule: long non-coding RNA, 664 nt
Organism: Mesocricetus auratus (golden hamster)
Lineage: Eukaryota; Metazoa; Chordata; Mammalia; Rodentia; Cricetidae
Exons: 2
Source: RefSeq, a predicted model, not a curated record